GAAGUCGUUACUUUAACCCUUGUGGAGAAGGAUGCCGAAGGUGGGGCUGAUGACUGGGGUGAAGUCGUAACAAGGUAGCCGUACCGGAAGGUGCGGCUGGAUCACCUCCUAACAGGGAGACAAUAAAUUGGUUGUGAUGUCUAAGUUAUUUAUUCUUAGGCCGCAAUCCUGUCACCUUAAGGUCGAUCGGUACCUCAGAUUUUUGAAUUAGUUUUAUAAUUGAUUCUUUGAUUUCAGUUCCUAAACUUGUCUAGGUCACACCCAACAAAGUUUCUCCUGGGCCAUUAGCUCAGGUGGUUAGAGCGCACCCCUGAUAAGGGUGAGGUCCCUGGUUCAAGUCCAGGAUGGCCCAUUCGGUGUUGGGGGUUUAGCUCAGUUGGUAGAGCGCCUGCUUUGCAAGCAGGAUGUCAGGAGUUCGAGUCUCCUAACCUCCACUGACCGAACUCGAUCUCCGGUUUUGCAUUGAAAGAUGGAGAGCCACUCGAUUGUGAUGUGUGAUUUAGAUGUGUCCGCUGGAUGACCCCAGCUUCCUGUCAUUCCAAAUCGAAGUAAAUUAGUUUACUUAGAUGAAUUUGGUUGAUAAGAUGCUGGGCUCGAGUUCAGUGAUCAAGAGAUUGGUCAUUGGGUUUGAAGUCUGGCAGAACCUUGACAACUGCAUAGGUAAGUCUGGAAAAACAAAGCAUCUUACAGAUGCAUUGUUUUGAAUCUGAUCUUCUGAAAGGGAGAUUGGAUCUAGAACAAUGAAAAUUCUUUUGAGCAAGAGCCGUGACUCUUGAGCGUUCUUUGAUUCGUGUCGAGCGAAUCAGAGUUUGAUCUUGUUUUAGGAAUCAUCGAAAGUUGAUGAUUAAAACUUGAGAAUCUGCUUUCAACGGCGGUAAGCGUUCAGGAGAUUAAUUGGUCAAGCUACAAAGGGCUCACGGCGGAUACCUUGGCACACAGAGGCGAUGAA
This 949-nucleotide unclassified non-coding RNA is filed under the name uncultured cyanobacterium. RNAcentral's name for it is "partial contains 16S ribosomal RNA, 16S-23S ribosomal RNA intergenic spacer, and 23S ribosomal RNA". The stretch from base 1 to 112 matches the Rfam family "Bacterial small subunit ribosomal RNA", at positions 1423 to 1533 of the family's 1533-position model. The record is from RNAcentral. Lineage: Bacteria; Bacillati; Cyanobacteriota.